Molecule: non-coding RNA, 125 nt
Organism: Hordeum vulgare subsp. vulgare (domesticated barley)
Lineage: Eukaryota; Viridiplantae; Streptophyta; Magnoliopsida; Poales; Poaceae
Source: Rfam
UAUGUACUUCCUCGGUCCGGAAAUACUUGUCAUAGGAUUGAACUUAUCUAGAUGCAUUUUGGUUAUAGAUACAUCUACUUUUAUCCAUUUUUACGACAAGUAAUUCCGGACGGAGGGAGUAUAUC